CAAUAUAUAUAUAUAUAUAUAUAUAUAUAUAUAUAUAUAUAUAGAGAGAGAGAGAGAGAGAGAGAGAGAGAGAGAGAGAGAGAGAGAGAGUGAGGCUACUAUGCUUCUGAAAAUACAAAGCCUUCCGUGCUUUCAGGUCGUUUUCGAUAUUGCGACUUUUGAAUUGUCGAUCGGCUCUGUUAAACUUGAUCUAAAGUAUUUGAAAUACUUAGAAAAUAAAUUUUAUGAUUUUUUGAUAUCAUAUGCCUAGUGAUCGAAGGGGCUCAAAAUCAAUAAUUUUAAAGGCCGUAGUGAGCCGUUUGCAAGUUUAACAGUAUAGAAAUAUUCAAAUCACGUGAAAUUUUGAUAGAAAAUUUUUUAUACUAUAUAAAAUAAAAUCAAUAUCUUUGAUCUAAAAUUUUAAUGUCAUAUUAUUACGUUUUGUAAGAUUUUUAUUUUCAGCCGUUGAUUUUGAGCCACUUAAUUCAUUAGGCAAAUGAUAUCGAAAAAUUGCAACAUUUAUUUUCUAGAUACUUCGAAUACUCUAGAUCAAGUUUAACUGAGCUGAUCGACGAUUCGAAAGUCGCAACAUCAAAAACAACCUGGAAGCACGGAAGGCUCCGUGCUUCUAGAAGCAUAGUAACCUCACUCUAUAUAUAUAUAUAUAUAUAUAGGCUAGAAUACUAUUAAUAGCACCAAGCUAUUGGUGCUAUUAGUUUUUUAGCCCUUGGAUUGAGAAAUAUACGGUUAGGAUGAUUUGGGCCCUUUAAGAUUGAGUGGGUGGUUGGUUGGUUGAAUAGUAUAAUCUAACGGGUAAAAAUAAUUAAAGGAUUAAAUCUAAUAAUGGAAAACUCGAUAGCAUCAAAUCCUGGUGCUAUCGAUAGUAUCCAACCGGACUCUCUCUCUCUCUCUCUCUCUCUCUCUCUAUAUAUAUAUAUAUAUAUAUAAUUUUAAAAAGCAGCAAACAAAUACACAAAACAAGCAGUAAAUUCAUUUUCUUGAACUUCAACUGACAGCAACUACUACAUGCUUUUCGUCCAAAAUGUGUUACAUACACAUUUAUAAUAGCUGUAAAUCACGCUGUUGCAGUGAGUAAAAAGUACGUAGAUGAUGCAUCAUACAUCUUUAUUGCUUUAUACAC
RNAcentral lists this long non-coding RNA (1120 nucleotides) under Ananas comosus (pineapple). Its description in RNAcentral is "long non-coding RNA (ACOM_LNC025085)". The record is from RNAcentral. Lineage: Eukaryota; Viridiplantae; Streptophyta; Magnoliopsida; Poales; Bromeliaceae.